CAUCUGGUUAUUAUAAGUAAUGUUUUGUUUUACAAGACCUCAACGGACGUUGAGCAGGGAAUUAGGUGAGAAUCCUAAACUGUACCCGCAGCUGUAUGCGAUGAGUAUUAUCAAGGCCACUGACUCUAAGAUCGUGAGUUGGGAAGGCGAUAAUGCGUUUUAGUCGUGAGUCAGAAUACCUGUUACUAACCUUUGCAUCAUC
Molecule: non-coding RNA, 202 nt
Filed under: Vibrio tapetis subsp. tapetis
Lineage: Bacteria; Pseudomonadati; Pseudomonadota; Gammaproteobacteria; Vibrionales; Vibrionaceae
Source: RNAcentral